Molecule: ribosomal RNA, 494 nt
Filed under: uncultured bacterium
Lineage: Bacteria
Description: partial 16S ribosomal RNA
Rfam family: Bacterial small subunit ribosomal RNA
Source: RNAcentral
GACGAACGCUGGCGGCGUGCUUAACACAUGCAAGUCGAACGGAAAGGCCUGCUUUCCCUUGUGGAUUGCGGGUACUCGAGUGGCGAACGGGUGAGUAACACGUGAGUGAUCUGCCCCCAACUUGGGUAUAAGCCUGGGAAACUGGGUCUAAUUCCCGAUAGGACUGCAGGGUGGUGCCUGUGGUGGAAAACGAUUUUCUAGUGGUUGGGGAUGAGCUCGCGGCCUAUCAGCUUGUUGGUGGGGUAAUGGCCUACCAAGGCGGCGACGGGUAGCCGGCCUGAGAGGGUGGACGGCCACAUUGGGACUGGGAUACGGCCCAGACUCCUACGGGAGGCAGCAGUGGGGAAGAUUGCACAAUGGGCGGGAGCCUGAUGCAGCGACGCCGCGUGGGGGAUGACGGCCUUCGGGUUGUAAACUCCUUUCGACCGCGAGGAAGCCACCUGGUUGGAAGGGUGGUGACGGUAGUGGUAGAAGAAGCACCGGCUAACUACGUG